UGAGCAGACUGAAACUAGCUGCUAUCUAGGUAGCAGUUGUUCUCUUGUUAAUUUAGCUAGAUCAUGCAGAUGCAUCAGUUUAUUUUAGACAAUCCACCUUGGACACUCCAACUAUAAUGUGAUCUAUCAUUUAUUUUUCUGUGGCAAACUGGGUAACUCUGUGAAAUUGAAUUUACUCUACCACUCCUCUUAGUGCAGCCGCCCAUUAUCAAAAAAGAAAACUUAUUUUCAGUUUCUUCUGUUGGUAUAUACUAGUAGUUGCUUGCGAUAUUCUUCAUCUUGCUUGUUCUCCCUGAUUUACUUGUAUUUCCUUAUUGUAGUCUUGAUCAUUAUUCGUGAUCUCUAUAGCUUUAUUUCCAACUGUGAUUCUACAUUUCCUUAUGCAACCCAUUCUUAAGAAAGAAUUCAUGACUUCAGCUGCCUUAUUCUACUUCCAUCUUAUAUCUUAGGUGGAUUGAAUAACAAUGACCUUUUGUUGUUUGUGGGUGUGUGAGG
Molecule: long non-coding RNA, 495 nt
Filed under: Oryza brachyantha (malo sina)
Lineage: Eukaryota; Viridiplantae; Streptophyta; Magnoliopsida; Poales; Poaceae
Description: long non-coding RNA (OBRA_LNC002645)
Source: RNAcentral